Molecule: ribosomal RNA, 872 nt
Filed under: uncultured bacterium
Lineage: Bacteria
Description: bacterial SSU rRNA
Rfam family: Bacterial small subunit ribosomal RNA
Source: RNAcentral
CAUGCAAGUCGAACGAGAAUCUACUGAAAGAGUCUUCGGACAAUGGAAGUAGAGGAAAGUGGCGGACGGGUGAGUAACGCGUGAGGAACCUGCCUUGAAGAGGGGGACAACAGUUGGAAACGACUGCUAAUACCGCAUGAAGCAUAGGGGUCGCAUGAUCUUUAUGCCAAAGAUUUAUCGCUUCAAGAUGGCCUCACGUCUGAUUAGCUGGUUGGCGGGGUAACGGCCCACCAAGGCGACGAUCAGUAGCCGGACUGAGAGGUUGAACGGCCACAUUGGGACUGAGAUACGGCCCAGACUCCUACGGGAGGCAGCAGUGGGGAAUAUUGGGCAAUGGGCGCAAGCCUGACCCAGCAACGCCGCGUGAAGGAAGAAGGCUUUCGGGUUGUAAACUUCUUUUAAGAGGGAAGAGCAGAAGACGGUACCUCUAGAAUAAGCCACGGCUAACUACGUGCCAGCAGCCGCGGUAAUACGUAGGUGGCAAGCGUUGUCCGGAUUUACUGGGUGUAAAGGGCGUGCAGCCGGGUCUGCAAGUCAGAUGUGAAAUCCAUGGGCUCAACCCAUGAACUGCAUUUGAAACUGUAGAUCUUGAGUGUCGGAGGGGCAAUCGGAAUUCCUAGUGUAGCGGUGAAAUGCGUAGAUAUUAGGAGGAACACCAGUGGCGAAGGCGGAUUGCUGGACGAUAACUGACGGUGAGGCGCGAAAGUGUGGGGAGCAAACAGGAUUAGAUACCCUGGUAGUCCACACUGUAAACGAUGAAUACUAGGUGUGCGGGGACUGACCCCCUGCGUGCCGCAGUAAACACAAUAAGUAUUCCACCUGGGGAGUACGAUCGCAAGGUUGAAACUCAAAGGAAUUGACGGGGGCCCGCA